AGUGAACGCUGGCGGUAGGCCUAACACAUGCAAGUCGAACGGCAGCACAGUAAGGGCUUGCUCUUACGGGUGGCGAGUGGCGGACGGGUGAGGAAUACAUCGGAAUCUACUUUUUCGUGGGGGAUAACGUAGGGAAACUUACGCUAAUACCGCAUACGACCUACGGGUGAAAGCAGGGGAUCUUCGGACCUUGCGCGAUUGAAUGAGCCGAUGUCGGAUUAGCUAGUUGGCGGGGUAAAGGCCCACCAAGGCGACGAUCCGUAGCUGGUCUGAGAGGAUGAUCAGCCACACUGGAACUGAGACACGGUCCAGACUCCUACGGGAGGCAGCAGUGGGGAAUAUUGGACAAUGGGCGAAAGCCUGAUCCAGCCAUACCGCGUGGGUGAAGAAGGCCUUCGGGUUGUAAAGCCCUUUUGUUGGGAAAGAAAAGCAGCAGGUUAAUACCCCGCUGUUCUGACGGUACCCAAAGAAUAAGCACCGGCUAACUUCGUG
Molecule: ribosomal RNA, 492 nt
Filed under: uncultured bacterium
Lineage: Bacteria
Description: partial 16S ribosomal RNA
Rfam family: Bacterial small subunit ribosomal RNA
Source: RNAcentral